GAACACUCGAACUAACUUCGACUGUCGAACUUACGCCAUUAGUGAAGACACCGAGAUACAGGAUUGUUUUGGUAGGGGCGGAGUUAACAGUAUUAUGCCACUAUGUGGAUUCCUAUGUUUACUUGGUUACCAUUGAACGUGAUUUAAGAUAUGUACAAGAAAAUUGUGCCUAUACCUUUAAUAUUAAUAAACAAUGCUUUAUAAUUGAAUUUAACAUCCGGCAAGGCCAAUAAGUAUAUGUACAUAUAUGUAACCACAUAUUAAGAGCAGUUUACUGUGUGUGGUAACAGAAAGCCGUCGGCGAGAAUUGCUACCCAUUUUUUAAAAGGCUCUAACCACGCAAAAAAUGGCUGUUUAGCUCCGAAAUAGAAUCGGAUGAGACCCCUUGACCGUGGCGUCCGAUUAAGAUCUACUCAGUGAAUCCGCUCAUUUGAACCAUAGAAUGGGUGGAAAAUGGCGAAAAUGUACGUUGAGGAUGGAGAGCGAGCACAGUGUCGUAGGAUUACUAGUUAAUCGCAUUCGUUUGUCUGAUAUUCGUUUGCUAAUUAAUCUGUCAAUUGUAAAGUGAUUGAUUCCGAAUUUUUUUAUGCAACAGAAAAUUGCUUAACGUUUAAAGUUGUUAUCAUACUGUGCUGUAACUACAGAUGCGAGUAGCAACAUGGAUAUCGUAGAAUACAUUGUAAUGCCCAUUAUAUUCCUCACGCGUUGUUAUUUAUGAUUACUAAUUUGUUCUGCCUCCAUACUUAGUAAGUAAAUAGUAUAAUUUACCAUUCAAAUUUAGUAUUGCAAAACAAAUUUGUAACUGAAUUUUAUGCCAAGUCAUAUGUUUUUUAUCGGAAACUUAUAACCUGUAUGUAUAAUCUGAUGUUAUAAUUUAGUUAUAGAUAUAUAUUUGCUAUGUAUACUUUUGACUAU
Galleria mellonella (greater wax moth) is the source of this 915-nucleotide long non-coding RNA. RefSeq lists it as uncharacterized. Lineage: Eukaryota; Metazoa; Arthropoda; Insecta; Lepidoptera; Pyralidae. The transcript has 3 exons. The record is from RefSeq and is a predicted model, not a curated record.